This 303-nucleotide long non-coding RNA is filed under the name Gossypium raimondii (Peruvian cotton). Its description in RNAcentral is "long non-coding RNA (GRAI_LNC004869)". Lineage: Eukaryota; Viridiplantae; Streptophyta; Magnoliopsida; Malvales; Malvaceae. The record is from RNAcentral.
UUCUUUUUCCUUAAAACAAACAGAGGGAAAAGGGGACUGCUCUGCUAGGGUUUUCUUAACCUAGCCCCCCCAAGCCGCCGCCAGUUCUUCAAUCGCCGCCGCGACUUCACCAGAACCAGUGGUAAGGGUUGAGCGAUAUUGAUUUUUGCUCUAAACCCUCCUCAAGCCGACCCAAAGGCAAGGAUAUUUCUUCCUUUUUUGUUUUAACACUAGUUUAAAAAGAGAAUAGAUAAAAUAGAAAGAACUUAAGAACAAAAAAACACCUUUGAUUUUCUUUUUCUGUUCUCUUUUUGUAUCUUUUUU